UGCUGCUGUGGGGUCACACCAGAGA
This 25-nucleotide unclassified non-coding RNA is filed under the name Mus musculus (house mouse). RNAcentral describes it as "oocyte_clustered_small_RNA5076". Lineage: Eukaryota; Metazoa; Chordata; Mammalia; Rodentia; Muridae. The record is from RNAcentral.